AGAAAAUCUGGUAGCGGCGGGAAUCGAACCCGGGACCUCUGAAUCUGUAGCCAGACGGUCCUAGGUUGCCAGAUAAAAUGCUGAAAGGAAAGGGACCAACCAAAAGAAGUUCGUUGGCCAAAUAUUUAGUAGCCAAGAGAUGGAAGAAACAACAACACACAGAAAUGUCUUCUGAAGUAUGUGAAAGAAAUGAAAGUGCUUUGAUAGAGAAUUUCUCUUCAGCAUCAUCUUCCCAGGGAUGUGCAUUGAUGCUGCCCAAGACAGUUUGUUAUGGAGUACCCAUUAAGCAACUUUGAAAGGUGUUAAGGUCUGGUGGGAAACCAAAGGAGCUAGUUGGGAUGGCUUCAGUGAAAGUGUAUCAUGCUUUGGAAUAUGGUUGUGGUCAUUGGAGCCAUUCUACCUAAAAGAAAAGCUCCUUGUGCCCCUGCCAGAACUUAAAAGUCAUGUGGUCAUAAUUCAUCAUGGAACA
Molecule: long non-coding RNA, 469 nt
Organism: Cryptotermes secundus
Lineage: Eukaryota; Metazoa; Arthropoda; Insecta; Blattodea; Kalotermitidae
Exons: 2
Source: RefSeq, a predicted model, not a curated record